This is a non-coding RNA of Callorhinchus milii (elephant shark), 399 nucleotides long. The record is from the annotation of a RefSeq genome assembly. NCBI's taxonomy places the organism in Eukaryota, Metazoa, Chordata, Chondrichthyes, Chimaeriformes, Callorhinchidae.
AUGCUGCCAUCCAAGUACAGAGAAUUCAAGUGUCUUGUCCUGUUUCUAUGGACCUUCAUGAUAAUCGGCAUGAGCCGAGAAGAUUCCGUAUCUCAAGAGUUUUCAUCGGUCAACUUGAAAAUGGGCCAUAGGUUUGAAGAUAACUGUAACUAUUCCACAACAGCUCAGUUUUAUCACUUGUACUGGUACCAACAGUACUCGGGUAAAACACCCGAAAUGGUUCUUUGGCGGAGUGCUUCAAACAGCAACGGCAAAGGGAAGGACAUCAGCAAACGUUUUUCUUCUAAAAUGAAUAAACUUGACAAAAGAUUCUUCAUAACCAUCAGUGAUGUUCAGCUAGAUGACUCCGCAAUGUACUGCUGUGCUUUCUCUCUCUCUCGUCACGCUACACCACCAUGA